Molecule: ribosomal RNA, 699 nt
Filed under: uncultured bacterium
Lineage: Bacteria
Description: bacterial SSU rRNA
Rfam family: Bacterial small subunit ribosomal RNA
Source: RNAcentral
AGAGUUUGAUCAUGGCUCAGGAUGAACGCUGGCGGCGUGCCUAAUACAUGCAAGUCGAGCGAACAGAUAAGGAGCUUGCUCCUUUGACGUUAGCGGCGGACGGGUGAGUAACACGUGGGUAGCCUACCUAUAAGACUGGAAUAACUCCGGGAAACCGGGGCUAAUGCCGGGUAAUAUUUAGAACCGCAUGGUUCUAAAGUGAAAGAUGGUUUUACUAUCACUUAUAGAUGGACCCGCGCCGUAUUAGCUAGUUGGUGGGGUAAUGGCUUACCAAGGCAACGAUACGUAGCCGACCUGAGAGGGUGAUCGGCCACACUGGAACUGAGACACGGUCCAGACUCCUACGGGAGGCAGCAGUAGGGAAUCUUCCGCAAUGGGCGAAAGCCUGACGGAGCAACGCCGCGUGAGUGAUGAAGGUCUUCGGAUCGUAAAACUCUGUUAUUAGGGAAGAACAAAUGUGUAAGUAACUGUGCACGUCUUGACGGUACCUAAUCAGAAAGCCACGGCUAACUACGUGCCAGCAGCCGCGGUAAUACGUAGGUGGCAAGCGUUAUCCGGAAUUAUUGGGCGUAAAGCGCGCGUAGGCGGUUUCUUAAGUCUGAUGUGAAAGCCCACGGCUCAACCGUGGAGGGUCAUUGGAAACUGGGAAACUUGAGUGCAGAAGAGGAAAGUGAAUUCAUGUGUAGCGGUGAAUGCGCA